Molecule: ribosomal RNA, 342 nt
Filed under: uncultured Paracoccaceae bacterium
Lineage: Bacteria; Pseudomonadati; Pseudomonadota; Alphaproteobacteria; Rhodobacterales; Paracoccaceae
Description: bacterial SSU rRNA
Rfam family: Bacterial small subunit ribosomal RNA
Source: RNAcentral
CGUAAGAGACCAAGUGCAGGUGCUGCAUGGCUGUCGUCAGCUCGUGUCGUGAGAUGUUCGGUUAAGUCCGGCAACGAGCGCAACCCACAUCCCUAGUUGCCAGCAGGUCAAGCUGGGCACUCUAUGGAAACUGCCCGUGAUAAGCGGGAGGAAGGUGUGGAUGACGUCAAGUCCUCAUGGCCCUUACGGGUUGGGCUACACACGUGCUACAAUGGCAGUGACAAUGGGUUAAUCCCAAAAAGCUGUCUCAGUUCGGAUUAGGGUCUGCAACUCGACCCCAUGAAGUCGGAAUCGCUAGUAAUCGCGUAACAGCAUGACGCGGUGAAUACGUUCCCGGGCCUU